CAGUAGCCGCGGUAAUACGUAGGUGGCAAGCGUUGUCCGGAAUUAUUGGGCGUAAAGGGCUCGCAGGCGGUUUCUUAAGUCUGAUGUGAAAGCCCCCGGCUCAACCGGGGAGGGUCAUUGAAAACUGGGGAACUUGAGUGCAGAAGAGGAGAGUGGAAUUCCACGUGUAGCGGUGAAAUGCGUAGAGAUGUGGAGGAACACCAGUGGCGAAGGCGACUCUCUGGUCUGUAACUGACGCUGAGGAGCGAAAGCGUGGGGAGCGAACAGGAUUAGAUACCCGAGUAGUCCCUGUCUCUUAUAC
RNAcentral lists this ribosomal RNA (301 nucleotides) under uncultured bacterium. Its description in RNAcentral is "partial 16S ribosomal RNA". It matches the Rfam family "Bacterial small subunit ribosomal RNA", at positions 509 to 807 of the family's 1533-position model. The record is from RNAcentral.